This 520-nucleotide unclassified non-coding RNA is filed under the name uncultured Glomus. RNAcentral describes it as "SSU rRNA". It matches the Rfam family "Eukaryotic small subunit ribosomal RNA", at positions 569 to 1094 of the family's 1831-position model. The record is from RNAcentral. Lineage: Eukaryota; Fungi; Glomeromycota; Glomeromycetes; Glomerales; Glomeraceae.
AGCAGCCGCGGUAAUUCCAGCUCCAAUAGCGUAUAUUAAAGUUGCUGCAGUUAAAAAGCUCGUAGUUGAAUUUCGGGAUCAAUAUGUUGGUCGUGCCUCGGUACGUACUAGCUUAUUGGUUUCUCCCUUCUGACGAACCAUAAUGUCAUUUAUUUGGUGUUAUGGGGAAUCAGGACUGUUACUUUGAAAAAUUAGAGUGUUUAAAGCAGGCUCACGCUUGAAUACAUUAGCAUGGAAUAAUGAAAUAGGACGUUUGAUUCUAUUUUGUUGGUUUCUAGGAUCGACGUAAUGAUUAAUAGGGAUAGUUGGGGGCAUUAGUAUUCAAUUGUCAGGGGUGAAAUUCUUGGAUUUAUUGAAGACUAACUACUGCGAAAGCAUUUGCCAAGGAUGUUUUCAUUAAUCAAGAACGAAAGUUAGGGGAUCGAAGACGAUCAGAUACCGUCGUAGUCUUAACCAUAAACUAUGCCGACUAGGGAUCGGAUGAUGUUAAUUUUUAAUGACUCAUUCGGCGCCUUACGGG